AGGUGGAACUGCGGAAGGACAUUG
Molecule: ribosomal RNA, 24 nt
Filed under: Crotalaria perrottetii
Lineage: Eukaryota; Viridiplantae; Streptophyta; Magnoliopsida; Fabales; Fabaceae
Description: partial 18S ribosomal RNA
Source: RNAcentral